This is a non-coding RNA of Phrynosoma platyrhinos (Desert horned lizard), 73 nucleotides long. Lineage: Eukaryota; Metazoa; Chordata; Lepidosauria; Squamata; Phrynosomatidae. The record is from the annotation of a GenBank genome assembly.
AGCUAGCAUGGUAUAGUGGUUUGAACACUGGACUAUAACUCUGGAGAUCAGGGUUUGAUUCCCCGUUUGGCCA